Molecule: ribosomal RNA, 484 nt
Filed under: uncultured bacterium
Lineage: Bacteria
Description: partial 16S ribosomal RNA
Rfam family: Bacterial small subunit ribosomal RNA
Source: RNAcentral
AUUGAACGCUGGCGGCAGGCCUAACACAUGCAAGUCGAGCGGAUGAAGGGAGCUUGCUCCUGGAUUCAGCGGCGGACGGGUGAGUAAUGCCUAGGAAUCUGCCUGGUAGUGGGGGAUAACGUCCGGAAACGGGCGCUAAUACCGCAUACGUCCUGAGGGAGAAAGUGGGGGAUCUUCGGACCUCACGCUAUCAGAUGAGCCUAGGUCGGAUUAGCUAGUUGGUGGGGUAAAGGCCUACCAAGGCGACGAUCCGUAACUGGUCUGAGAGGAUGAUCAGUCACACUGGAACUGAGACACGGUCCAGACUCCUACGGGAGGCAGCAGUGGGGAAUAUUGGACAAUGGGCGAAAGCAUGAUACAGCAAUGCCGCGUGUGUGAAGAAGGUCUUCGGAUUGUAAAGCACUUUAAGUUGGGAGGAAGGGCAGUAAGUUAAUACCUUGCUGUUUUGACGUUACCAACAGAAUAAGCACCGGCUAACUUCGUG